GAGUUGUGGAUACUGUCUGCCUUGACAUCAGCAUGGUCUUUGACACCAUUUCCCACAAUGUCCUUGUUACGAAACUUAUUAUGUAGAGGAUAGAUGAGUGGAUGGUGAGGUAGAGUGAAAAAUGCACAUAGCAUUUUUUAGGGUUUCAGCAGCAGAGCUGCACUCUGUGGAACUGCAUGGCUGUCAGACUGAACUUAUUUCACUGACUCCACUGACAACUGCAAGGCAGAUGGGCUUCAGUUUGCCUGACAUAAGCCACCCAAGAUGGUAGAAAGUGAGAAAACUCAGCGUGUAAAGGUAUUCCUUUGUCUCUCCUGCUGCAUUGGACAUGGAGGAAAGACGGAUAAUGAGGUUUCUCUAGUAGCAGCGAAAGGAUCACAUCUACUGCACUGGAGAAUACUUACUUGACAGUAAAUGCGCCUAAUGGACACACGCCAGAGGAUUCAGCAGGAAUGCGGGUGCUGUCCACCCAUAAGUGAUGGAGGAUAAUGAUGACAGGGAGAGUGUGUGUAUUAUUAUUAAAGGCUU
Long non-coding RNA from Phasianus colchicus (ring-necked pheasant), 528 nucleotides. RefSeq lists it as uncharacterized. Lineage: Eukaryota; Metazoa; Chordata; Aves; Galliformes; Phasianidae. The record is from RefSeq and is a predicted model, not a curated record.